Molecule: long non-coding RNA, 333 nt
Filed under: Elaeis guineensis (African oil palm)
Lineage: Eukaryota; Viridiplantae; Streptophyta; Magnoliopsida; Arecales; Arecaceae
Description: long non-coding RNA (EGUI_LNC020416)
Source: RNAcentral
CCCAGAGCUGUAUGCAAUCUUCAGUAUCGUAACUAUAGUCACAAUGAUAAAAGCAAUAUUUACUCGGGUCGUGAUGGCGCUCUAGCCUCAUUCACAACUUCGGAGGCUGAGAUAGUUCGGCUUGUACCUCCAUCAGUACCUCCCCCUAGAAAUAGUCAAAGGUGUGUAGUUAGUAUAAUGCCUUGGAGGUGAAGGUUGUCGAUCUCUUUUCUGAGGACUUCGAGAUUGAUGAUUUCGACCUCUCUUUUUUCACCUUUGGGAUGAUGAUCGAGAGUGUUGGCAAGUUCUCCCUUUCCACUUUGGAAAGCGCUCCUUAUUUCGUCCUACUGUAAC